UACGUAGGUGGCAAGCGUUAUCCGGAUUUAUUGGGCGUAAAGCGAGCGCAGGCGGUUGCUUAGGUCUGAUGUGAAAGCCUUCGGCUUAACCGAAGAAGUGCAUCGGAAACCGGGCAACUUGAGUGCAGAAGAGGACAGUGGAACUCCAUGUGUAGCGGUGGAAUGCGUAGAUAUAUGGAAGAACACCAGUGGCGAAGGCGGUUGUCUGGUCUGCAACUGACGCUGAGGCUCGAAAGCAUGGGUAGCGAACAGG
RNAcentral lists this ribosomal RNA (253 nucleotides) under uncultured bacterium. RNAcentral describes it as "partial 16S ribosomal RNA". It matches the Rfam family "Bacterial small subunit ribosomal RNA", at positions 524 to 776 of the family's 1533-position model. The record is from RNAcentral.